CAGGGAGUAGUUUAAUAUAGCAAUAUCAGCUUUGGGAGUUGAAGGUGAAACUAUUUGUUUCUUCCCUGA
Molecule: transfer RNA, 69 nt
Filed under: Glaucomys volans (southern flying squirrel)
Lineage: Eukaryota; Metazoa; Chordata; Mammalia; Rodentia; Sciuridae
Description: tRNA-Pro
Source: RNAcentral